CACCCACAGAGUCUCAUGUGCGAAUACUUGCUUGCCAGUUGGUGCCUCUGUAAAGGAAGGUUCUGGAAAUUCCGAAUCGUGAAGCCUGCAUGGUUGUGAUUGGCCACUCAGGGUGCACUGGGAAGUGCUGCUGGACUCCUGGUUCCAGCCUCACUCUCUGAUUCCUGUUCUGCUGUGUGUCACUGUCAUACUGCUAUGAACUCUGCCAUGCCCUGUCCACAUUGCUGGUCUGAAACUCUUGGAAGCUACCAUUCAAAUUAAUCUUUCUCUACUUGUUUCUGUCUGUCAGGUGGCUUAUAGCAGUCAUUCAAAAAGUAACAAAACCAGGAAACUGGUGUCAAAGGUAUGAGAAUGCUACUUUGAUUACACCUGACCACAGGUCUUUGUGUCUUUGGAGCUGGAUUGCUGAAGAAAUGUGGAAAAGUUUGGAGAUGCAUCCCAGUUCUAGAAGCCCGAUAACGAUGCUAGCCUAUUUGAUCCUGCUAAGGUGUGGCAGUUUAGAAGACCAAUGUCUCUGCCCACUUGCCACGAGGAGCAUUGGAAAGACCUUUCAAAGUGCCUGCCAGUUUUUUGCAUCUGAAUAAAAGAAGCAUUAUGCCUGAAGGAUCCAUCAUUCUCAGGGGUACUGGGACAAGAAAAUGACAUAACAGAUGUGAGCACAUUUAGAAAGUAAAAGCAAUGUAUAAAUGCUGGA
Molecule: long non-coding RNA, 694 nt
Organism: Arvicola amphibius (Eurasian water vole)
Lineage: Eukaryota; Metazoa; Chordata; Mammalia; Rodentia; Cricetidae
Exons: 2
Source: RefSeq, a predicted model, not a curated record